This 489-nucleotide long non-coding RNA is filed under the name Bos taurus (domestic cattle). RNAcentral describes it as "long non-coding RNA NONBTAT009532". The record is from RNAcentral. Lineage: Eukaryota; Metazoa; Chordata; Mammalia; Artiodactyla; Bovidae.
GUGGUCACCGAAAAGUCUGAACAGAUCAACUACCGAGAGUCCUGAGGUCAGGGUUUAGCAUCUUGGCGGUUGACAACUAGUGCGGUGGGGAUUGUCAGUGAAUGCGGCGUCUUGUUCGGGUUUUCGAGUAAUUUGGAGCUCAAAGUCGAGGAACCAUUAAGGGAGGUCAGUAUACGUGUGUAUCUGACCUGGUUUGGUGUUAGUCGGGUGGGGGGUGAGGUGGGUAAUGGUCACUGUCUUUCGUGCAGAAAUGCGUGACGCAGAAGGCUUGGAGGCUCCGGAACCCUGGUAGGUUCGUGUGUUUAGCUCAGACUUUGGCUAAUGAACUUAACAUUCCCCGAAAACUUCAGGUCCAAGUCCCUGGACCCACCAGUUUUCUAGUCCCUUUAAAUUUUGUCUUUAUUCUUCUUCCUGCAAGUUGGCUCCCGUAUUCAUUUCCCCAGUAUUUAUAUUUUUGAAUUGUUUUUAUAUUUGUAUUUAUAGCUCAUA